GUGCUCACUUUGGCAGCAUAUAGACUAAAACUGGAAUGAUGCAGAGAAGAUUAACAUGGCCCCGGUGCAAGGAUGACAUGCAAAUUCAUGAAGCAUUCUAUAUUUUU
This 107-nucleotide small nuclear RNA is filed under the name Lynx canadensis (Canada lynx). Lineage: Eukaryota; Metazoa; Chordata; Mammalia; Carnivora; Felidae. The record is from RNAcentral.